RNAcentral lists this ribosomal RNA (108 nucleotides) under uncultured eukaryote. RNAcentral's name for it is "partial small subunit ribosomal RNA". The record is from RNAcentral.
UCGCUCCUACCGAUUGGGCGAUCCGGUGAAUUAUUUGGAGUUUUGACGAUUUCUUUCGGAAACCUGCCAAUUCAAAUUUUUGUGAACCUUAUUGCUUAGAGGAAGGAA